UUGGUCGCGGAUAGUUCCCGAGUUGCCGGGAAGUUCGCGAGAAGUGCGACUCGUUCUUUUCCCCGAAAGAAAGACGAAAGGGAGGCCUUCGUCGGCGGGUCGAGUCUCGAGGCGAUCUGCCGGCGGCACGGGACGCGACUCGCCUCGACGUUCGGAAACGGUAAGGCGGAUCGAUCGAGGAGCACCGAAGAAAAAUGGAUCGCGGAGGUGCGACUCGCGUUUCGGACAGCGACGUGAGGCGCCGUCGGGAGCCGAUCGCGCGAGCCUCGGCUCGGUUCCGUGCCAAAGUAUUUUCCGAAGGAAACGAGUGCCAAAGAAUUCCGGGGCGAGCCGACCGCUGCCGGAGGAGCCGUCGAUAAGCGAGUCGACCGUGCGGAACGAGAAGAGGAGCGAGAAGAGCCGGAGCGAGACGCGCGAAGGAUGAAACCGGCCGUUCCAUCGAAGAGGAAGCGAUCGUGGUAGGCGGAGGGCGGCAUAGACGUGGAUCGGGCUGGAUCCGUGUCGAUCGGUGUAAUGGUCUCGGGGUGGUGUCCGUGCGUGCCACUCGGCCGCCGGGAAUCAUCGGUCCAGCAGCAGUCGGCCUCCUCGUCGAGGUGUUUCGGGAACGACGGUGCACCGUUCACCGUCAGCGCCGCGACGGAUCACGCAGAGAUGGUCCAGAUGUUCUACUACGAGAAUCGCGGCAAAUGUUGCAAGAAGCUGCUCCGGUACAACGGAUAUCCCAACAAGGUGCUUCUGUUUCCGGAGGAGGGCUGGGCGAGAAGCGCGAGUAGUUCCUACUGGACCUUGACGCCGUUCUGGUGGAGCCGAAGCCGGUGCAAGGUCGUCGAAGUCGCUGGGACCAGGAGGUACAGCACUCAAGCGAAAAUGGUGGACACGGGGACAGGCACGCUCUACAUUAUCGGCUCUUUCAAGAGGAUGACGACCGAUCCCGAUUUCAAGUUGUACCUGACAUCGAACGUUUCGUCGAGCGACUUCAACAUGGGGUACAGUAUGACGGGCACGCUGGAGCGCGGCUGCAAAAAGACCAACACCUUCCAAAUGACUCACUUCGCGGUGAUUCGCCGGCGGGACUACGAAAAGGCCUACGAGGAUCCGAACACCACCUAGUGUCCGUCCACGCCCACGCUGUCCGAGCGUGGGGAUUGCGAGCACUACGCGUGAAAGGGAAAGGAUAAUAGGAUAUGCGAGAGCGGCGCGAUCCGCUCCGCGCGCCGCCAUCGCCGCCGCGAUUCGAGCUUAGGUGUGUUGCGCGGCCCACCGUUCGCCGGCAACCUACGCGGAACGAAUAAAUCGAGCAGCGGGUCAACGAGAGCACGCGAACAAAAAAGCAAAAGUGAAACGUCCAAAGGUAGUAUUUAACAUAGGUCGAAUGAAAUAAUAAUAAUAAUAAUAAUAAUAAUAAUAAUAAUAAUAAUAUUAAUAAUAAUAUUAAUAAGAGUAUUAACGAUAAUGGUAACGAUAUGAUAGUUUGUAAUUAGCGACGAACGAUACCUAAAUCGAGUAUACAAAGCUACGGUGAUCGAGAAUGCCAAAUGAUUUUCCAAAGUAUUAGCACGUAAGGUCGUAAAAUUGAAGUUAGGCGACGAGUAAGCAGCGAGACUCGCUACGGUUUCCUACGCGCCCUCCUCUCGCGACGCGCGCUGCUUCUCGUCUACCGUUCGCGCGAAACAUCUGAACGCAAUCUACCCGAAUUACGGACGGUAGUUUGUAGCGUGGCUGGUUCGCGCGAGGUGUCUCGAGCUUGGCUUAUGCCCUUACGGCUUCCGCGAGCUUGCCGCGCCAUCGCGGACGUCAAACCGCCGCGCGGUGGCCUGGAAACGGAGGAACCCGGACGGAAUUCAUCGUUUUUGUUGCGUUCAGUUUUGCGCGUCAAGGGGAAUAUAUCGCUGUAACUUCCAGCGUCGCGAGUUCUUGCUAACAUUUUUUACACGGGCAUCUUCGCUGGGAUGUAACAAAUGGUUUCGUACAAUAUUCGUCGUGUUUCAGUGCGAUCCGGAUACACGUGAACGUAAUUGGAGCGGAGAAACGAGAUGAAAUCAGAAGAGUUGCGAUUGAUCUGUUUCUUUCGAAUUGCGCGUAUAGACCAAAGAAUGCUCUUACUCUUAAUCAAAACGAAAGAAAGUACGCGAGUCUCAAAUAGAAUUCCGCUACAACCUACAUUCCCCUAUCUCCGAAGCUUCAUUUCAUUUUACACAACUGUCCAGCAAUUCGAACCGUAUCACCAGCCAUAUACAUGCGACAACAACGAAUAGAGAAUUUGAAUUUCUUCCGGGUCCCAACGAUUCCGGCCAGCCGCGCGCCGCCACCGCUCAAACCAACGAAUCGCUCGCUACGGUAGGCGCGAGAGAGAAACGUAAACUUCCGCCGCGAAGUUUCGCGGGAUCGUCGUGAAUCGGUGCAUAGCGAGCGCGAUACUUAUUUUUCUUAACGAGUAGGGAAAGUCGACCGCGUCACGACGCGUCCCGAUGCGUCCCGAUGGAGCGACGUUUGAUCCUUCGUGGGUCGGCUCGACCCGCCUCGAGUCGGCCAGACGACCGAUCGGAACCAGCGUAAUCGCCGUUUAGAGGAUUUUUGUACUUUCGGCUUUGCUCAAGGGCGUGUAGAACGCCGACAAACGGAUUAAGACAUAGGAUUAAGGCGCGACAUCGUAGAUCAUAAACACACGCAUACGUACAGUGCGUCACUGACGCGAGUCGAUACGAUCUUUCACUCGAAAGCGAAGAGAAGCGAGGGGACCGAUGGCCGAUCGAGACCGUGCGUCCGAAAGCCGAGCGCUGCGAGAGUCUCCCCUCGAUCCUCUUCGGUUUUGAGCCGCAGGACGACUCGGCUCGCGCGAGUAACGCGUUCACCGUAGAUGCUCGGCGAUCGGCGAAACGCGCGGCUCGUAAGUAGCACUUACCAACGGCCGCCGAUCGAUCGUACCUCCGUAGCUACGCGGUACGCGCAUUUCGAUGGUCGCUCGGGGCAACGGUGUACCCGCUAGUUGAAACGAUAACGAACAACGCUUCCCGUCUCUUUCCCGAUCUCUCUGUAUCCGUCUGUUUCCGCCAUUCCGUGCUCUCCUAGUCUGUCCAUCAGUGUGCAGCGACGUUCAGAAGGGCGCAGAUCGUUUUUGGAAUUGAGUCCGUGCCACGCCGACUCGCCGCUGUCGAGGAGUAUGAACAUUAGAUACUGAGCGCAAUACGUAAACACGUUAAACGCCACGGAAAUGACCAUUUUUCUGUAGUUACCCUUUUCAGCAAAGUAGCAAGAAUCAUUCACUUUUUUUCAAUCGUUGCAUUACACUAUUAUCAACUUACGUUACUAAACGUUUUGAUUUGACAUUAUUAUACAUGUUACGGUUGUUUCCAAGUAAUUCAGAAGCGUCAGCCAUCGGUAACUAACGUGGCAUUUAACGUGUUAAAUAUGCUAGAAAACUUUGAACAUGCUGAAUUACUUCUAAAGACACAUAUAUAAAGAAUAGAUGUGGACUUCCUUACAGUACCCUCUCUUACAAUGUGUCUUUUAUAUAUCAGAAUAAAAAAGAGUCCUGAAAGCUUUCAUUGUGCAAGCUAGAAACCUUUGAAUGUGCUAAAUUACUUAUUUCUAAAGAUACAUGCAUAAAGAAUAGAUGUAGACUUUCUUACAGUGUCUCCUGCAGUGUCUUAUAUAUCAUAAUAGCAGUCCUUGCUUUCACUGUGCAAGCUAGAAACCUUUGAAUAUGCUGAAUUAUUUCUGUGUAUGUAUAAAGAAUAGGUGGAGUUGACUCUUACAGUAUCUUCCCCUGCAAUGUGUCUUUUAUACAUCACAAUAGCAAAGAGUCUAAAGCUUCCAUCGUGUAAGAGCCAAGAACGAUCUAGCCAGGAACUUCUGAACGCCACUGUAUCGUCAAGAGAUCGAUGAGGAUCUCUCCUAGUCUCUCCAUCAGUGUGUUCAACGAUUCUAUCGCUUCUUCGUCCAUGCACUCGCGUCCCCUAAGUCCAUAGCGCCCUCUCUGGAUCGGCAGGUAGAAUUUCGUCUAAACAGUGUCCCGUUUAGUCGAGCUCCCUUAUGCAUUGUAGACUCUAGAAACAUAGAAACGGUUUAGUUGGUUCCAAAGCGGUUGAACAAAGUUUUCGAGCAACUCGUUCGGUGUUGUAGAUGGUGUAGACAUUACCGUAGAUGGUUGAUCGUAGAAACGCAACGCUUCGUUCGACGCAUAGCUCUCUGUAGUGGUGUCUCCUUAGAAACAUAGAAUUGUUACGUACCGUAACGCACCGAAGGCACCCGAGACGAUUAACACGUUCGCGGACAGUAAAAAUAGUUAAUGAGCUGCAAAAAUAGACGAAACGCAAAUUUAGUUCUCCAAGAGUCAAAGACGGUGACAAUUAAAAAAAAUUAAGGUUAUGUAGGGUCGAAUGCGUAAUAAUGUUGCUUAUAAAUUUGAAUGUUAGCAUCCAAGUCUACAGCAUUCGCGAAAGUACUCGGGUCCUUCGAAUCUACGUACACCUGACCCUCGAUUUACGCGGGAAUCCGUUGCACGUGGGUUCGUUUCACGCGAACGAGAAUCGCGUAAAUAGAGCCUGUCGGCACAAGAGAAAAGCUGGUGUAAGUUCUAGAAAUACAUAUUUGGUUCACGUAGCUUAAUGAUAGAAAUAAUAAUCACAUUUUAUUCGCUGUUGCUAAAUUCAGAUCGCAUAAAUUGAGAUCGCGCGUAAAAAAGAGGCUCACGUGAGAAAAGCCCGCGUAAACCGAGGGUCAGAUGUUGUUUAUACUCGUAGAGCUCGCGGUAGAUUGAUAGAUAGAUACUCUCGUCCUGGAUAGACGCUUGUCGACGCAGUUUCGGUGUUUGCUUCUUUUCGGGUAGCCGAUGUCCUAGUUCGGUAGGCAGUAGCGGUUUAAGUGAACGUACACGUCCGAUAUCACGGUCCCUCCUAACUACUUAGCCAUAGCUUCGAUCCACGGCUGCACGUUCCCCUCGAAUCGGAAGACGAGCGACGUCGAUCUCCGCCGGUCUCAACGUGCAACGGGUCUGUCUCUAGUCUGUUCGAAACCGUUCGCGAUCGUCACUUCCGUUGAAAUCGACGCUCGACCGUUAUAGAAUCGAAACUCGAUUCAACCGGGAAGAUCGGACGCGACGGGAAUCACUAUCCUCCGAACGUAGCGAAAUUAUAAUCGUAGAGUGUUGUAUUAAUGGUCGUAGAGAAGUGAAGUGAAACCAAAAAAAUUGAUUGUCGUCGGUGUCGUUAUCGUCGUUGUCCUAGUUGUCCACGUACCGUAGCGACGGUAUCCGGUCCGGUUCCGUUCCACGACGAGAUAAAUCGUUCGGCGCCGUGGCAGGACGAGUCCGGACGGUAAAAUUUAUUUUUUAUAGAAGUCACGGGACGCCGAUCCACGCGAGUCGAGGCGAAAUCGUGGUCGUCGUGACGGAACGGCCCCGCGGAUACCCGGUUUCGAUAGAACUCGAUAAUCGAGAGUGUAGCGAAAGAUAAUCGGUCUUGUUGUAGCGAGUAGGCGCGUUCGAGUGGCGCUUUAGAUUAGCGAAGUGGGGCGUUAUCGACGGUUCGAGAUCUCGAUAGUUUCGACGCGUCGAAGAUGGAGGACGGAACGUCACCGGGAUGUCUCGGAUCGUCGAGCGACGGUUCCCCUCGGUGUAGAGAAGUAGCGGUGUAGAAAACGCGAUAAUCGCUUGAACGAGCAUGCCGAAUGUAAUAGAUAGACACACGCGUGAUUCGCUUCCUCCUUGCGUUAGUUCCGUCUCGAUCGAAAAAGUUCUGGUUAUCGGAGAAGAUACGAAUACUCUUUUCUCGUUCAGUGUGUCUCGUGCAACAGUUUCACUCGUAUCUCGUUGUAAUCGAUGUUGUGUGUGUGUGCGUAGCCGUUAGUUGACGAUAUAACAAUACUCGUAGGAACGUCCACAUUUUAUCCCUACUGUUCGCGCGAAACAUGGUAUUAUUCAUCGUAAUCGUAUCGGUAAUACGAAGGAGACAUUCGUAUUCAAAGCUAUGGCUGUGAUCCUACUUAAUCGUGGAACGGUUCGUAAAAAGUAUAUACAUAUACAUAUACAUAUACAUAUACAUAUACAUAUACAUAUACACUAUAUUAUAUUAUAUUAUAUUAUAUUGUAUUAUAUUACAUUGUAUUGUAUUGUAUUGUAUUGCAUUAUAUUGUAUUAUAUUAUAUUAUAUUAUAUUACAUUACAUUACAUUACAUUAUAUUAUAUUAUAUUAUAUUAUAUUACAUUAUAUUACAUUACGUAUAUACGUACACGACAUACAUGGUACAUACAGUGAAUCGAUUACGACCGGCGUGUCGAUAGAUCGAAUCGAUAUUUUGCCAAACGCUCUCGGUUCCGCGAAUUUCGCUUUCUGUUCCCGUCGAAUCCGUUGAUCCCCGUUCGAAAGGGGAACGCGUUUCGUUUUCCUAACCGGUGCGAACGACCCAACCGUCGCGCGCACCCUCCACUGAAAUCGGCGGAUCAAUUUCGGCGAAACGAUUCUCGCGGAGUGGCCGGUCAAAAUCAAAAGCUCGCGGAGUGGCGAAGUGUCCCCGCGACAGUCCGGAGAAUCAAACAUCUUUUUCGUAACCUGUAAUCGGCCGCGUUCGAGGAAACGCGUCCGUGGACCGAUUUAUUUACCCCGACGCAGUUCUCCUCCUCCCCCCGUUCCCCCCGCGCGUCCGCGGAACGGGGCACGCGCGACAUCGUCGCCGAAACGAUAUCUCGCGGCGAUCUCUCGCGUCCAGACGAUUCUCGCCGCGAAUCGUGGAUCGCGAAUCUCGCGGGAACGAGCUGCGCGCGCCGUCUCUCUCCUCCGGGAGAUCGUCGCGGCGAUCGAGACUGCCGGGAUUAGACGAAGCAAAUCGAGUACGGAAACUGGUGCGGCAUACGCAUUAGUGUAUUUUCACUACUACAGUCCUGUCUACAGUCAAUUCAUUUUGUAUCUACACCUAACCUAUAGGAUCCGGGCUGCGUUGUCAACGGAACAUCUCGACGCUCAUCGCCGCUGUCUCGAGCUCGAUGUAACGUGAUCCCGGUAGCAGGGACGGAGAAUGAAUACAAUGGCCGGAGUUUCCUUCACGGCGUUCGUCUAUCCUGCUCCAGGCUGUGCUCAGUUCAGACAGUAAAAGACCUGCCAGAAUUUUAACGCUGAGCCCGGAACCUUAAAAUUUAAGCGAGCAUCACUAUACAGCAGUGUUUUAAUCGUUCGCAAGUCCUCCACCUCCUCAACCCUUCUCAACUAUCCAACGACGGAAAACAGGAGCGGAACGACGUCGUUGGGAAAGUUAGCCGAGGAACACGAUGCCUGGCAAAUGUUCAGUCCUUGGGACAUUUCAACAGCAGCCGAUCCGUGCGUCUCCGACGCACAGUGGGGUGAAUCCCCUAAUGUGGGAAGUAAACUUAUGUCGAGUCUUCGCAAAAAUAUGGGAAUGGAAAGCUCAGUUUCCGAGUGCCCAAGGAUAAAAAGACGAUCAGGACAUUAUCCCUCGCACAGCCGGCUACCCCGAAUACCAGACAUUUCAGGUAAAACGUUGAAAAUUCACUCUUGACCGGCCGGAUCGCGCGAAUGCCUCGCU
Non-coding RNA from Nomia melanderi (Alkali bee), 7536 nucleotides. The record is from RefSeq and is a predicted model, not a curated record. Lineage: Eukaryota; Metazoa; Arthropoda; Insecta; Hymenoptera; Halictidae.